This 253-nucleotide ribosomal RNA is filed under the name uncultured bacterium. RNAcentral's name for it is "partial 16S ribosomal RNA". It matches the Rfam family "Bacterial small subunit ribosomal RNA", at positions 524 to 776 of the family's 1533-position model. The record is from RNAcentral.
UACAGAGGGUGCAAUCGUUGUUCGGAAUUAUUGGGCGUAAAGCGCGUGUAGGCGUCAUUGCAAGUCGGGUGUGAAAGCCCUCAGCUCAACUGAGGAAGUGCGCCCGAAACUGCAGUGCUUGAGUACCGGAGAGGGUGGCGGAAUUCCCCAAGUAGAGGUGAAAUUCGUAGAUAUGGGGAGGAACACCGGUGGCGAAGGCGGCCACCUGGACGGAUACUGACGCUGAGACGCGAAAGCGUGGGUAGCAAACAGG